This 253-nucleotide ribosomal RNA is filed under the name uncultured bacterium. Its description in RNAcentral is "partial 16S ribosomal RNA". It matches the Rfam family "Bacterial small subunit ribosomal RNA", at positions 524 to 776 of the family's 1533-position model. The record is from RNAcentral.
UACAGAGGGUGCAAGCGUUGUUCGGAAUCAUUGGGCGUAAAGGGCGUGUAGGCGGUCUGUUAAGUCAUGUGUGAAAUCCCUCGGCUCAACCGGGGAACGACGCAUGAAACUGACAAGCUAGAGUACCAAAGAGGGGGGUGGAAUUCCCGGUGUAGAGGUGAAAUUCGUAGAUAUUCGCAAGAACACCAGUGGCGAAGGCGGCUGACUGGUCCGGUUCUGACGCUGAGGCGCGAAAGCGUGGGGAGCAAACAGG